RNAcentral lists this ribosomal RNA (253 nucleotides) under uncultured bacterium. RNAcentral describes it as "partial 16S ribosomal RNA". It matches the Rfam family "Bacterial small subunit ribosomal RNA", at positions 524 to 776 of the family's 1533-position model. The record is from RNAcentral.
UACGAAGGGUGCAAGCGUUAAUCGGAAUUACUGGGCGUAAAGCGUGCGUAGGCGGUUUCUUAAGUCUGCUGUGAAAGCCCUGGGCUCAACCUGGGAAUUGCGCGCGAAACGGGGGGGCUUGAGUUCGGGAGAGGAGCGUGGAAUUCCCAGUGUAGAGGUGAAAUUCGUAGAUAUUGGGAAGAACACCGGUGGCGAAGGCGGCGCUCUGGACCGAGACUGACGCUGAGGCGCGAAAGCGUGGGGAGCAAACAGG